CAUGAGGUCACUGCCUGCGUGCAUCUCAAGGAUGGCCAGAGAAUGGCCUCCUCAGAUGAACGGAGUCCACCCUCAGGAGGGACCAAGCUGGAAAUUCUCCUCACAACGUCUCACUGCUUCUGCCUCCCACCUGUCCUGCAUCGGUCAUUUGUCAAGUCUCAUCGGUUCUAUUUCCACACGAGUCAUGCGGUCAUUCAGCACAUGUUUUUUGAAUCACUGCUGCGGCUCAGGAACUAUCGGAGUCACCAGGAAACAGCAAACAAGAAGAGAGACAAAGUCCCUGCUCCUGUGGGGUUUAUAAUCGGGGCAGAGGGGGGGGACCAUAGCCACAUGGAUGUUUGAGGAAAGUAAUUUCAAAUUGUGACAUGCGCCACAAACACAGCAAAACGGGAUCAUCAGGUUUCCUGAUCCAACCUCCUGUAUAUUUCCCCAGCCACUGCCCUCCUGUAAUCUUUUUUUCUUAGUUGGCCAAUUAUGGGCACUUCCGACCCGGUCUUCCCAUUCCCUGCCUGCUGUCUGAUGCAUGGCCGGUCAUGUGAUUUCACAUCUCUAAAGUCUCAAUAUGCACCAGAGUGGUGGCCACGUGAAAUACCAAUCCUUACCCUGCCAUCGAAGACACUCAUGUUGUGGUCCCCCCGAGCCCUCCCAGACUCAUCUCCCAACAUGCCCCUGGCACAUUCUGUGUUUCGAGCAAACUGGGCAACUCAGGGGGCCUACGCACUCCAGGGGCUUUCCUGGCAUUCUUCCCUCCCCUGCAAACCCGCAAACUUCUGUUUGGCUGAUCUCAGAGGUCAUCUACCUGUUGACGCCCCUCCUGAUGCUCUUCCCUUCUACCCCGAGGUAAAGAGUAACCUUUCCUUUUUUGGGCCCCCGAGGGAACUUAUUUGUAUUUGUCUCUUGGGCUUUAUCUUACACUGUCUUAUUCUAGAGUGUCUGCUGCCCUGUCUGAUCACUCCUGAGAGCAAGGAUGGUGGCUUCAUAAAUUCUGGAUUCCUGUUGCUGACCACUGUGCUUGACAAAUGGCACUGUUUCUAGAUGACGGGGAUAUAGGAAUGAAAAUGAAAGAAGGAAAGAAAGUUUCUGCUCUCGUGGUGUUUUAUUCUAGCAGUGAUCUACAAGCAAACAAAUCAGGAAAACAUGUAGUAUACACUUUGGGGAAAAAUUAAAAAGGAAGCUGCAUAAGGGAAGCAAAUUGAGGAGUGUGAGAUGCUACCAGAUACGGGGUGGUUAUCACAGAAGCUAUGCUACUCAGGUCCCCUACACGGUGAGACGUUCAUUCCGCCAGCUACCAUCAAUAGUGGCAUCUGACAGGUCACAGCUGAGUCCUCUCCAUGAACUGCUCUCUGUGGGACAAAGCUGCCUUGCUCAAGGAUAUGCCCCUCCUGGGGGUAGCCUGCAUCCAAUAACUGGCUCAUGCAGUGGUUCAGAUCUCUUUCGGCUCAACUGGAACAAUUCUGAGGGUCCAUCCCAGCUCUCAAGCUCCCUGUAGAAUCAGCUGAGGACUCUGCCGUAACUCUCUUAGCAGUUCGGCUUCCUCCUGCUUAGUGCUGCACCUUUCAUCCUCACCCAUCACAGGUGCUGGCCCCACAUGCACUCCCCUCAAAUCUCCUCAUGUAAAUCUCAGAGUCUCAGAGUGAGAAAGAGGAGAGUGGCAUUUGGAUUUUAUUCUCAUUAGAGUUAUCAAACAGGUCCUUGGUAUGUGAUUCUGGAGCUCAGGGAAGACGUGGAGUAGACGAUACAGAUUUGGAAAUUGUCAGUAGUAGUUAAAGCCAUAGGACUAGAUAAAAUUCAUCCAGGAAGGAAGUGUAAAUAGAGAAUAAAAGAGGCCCAGUGGUGGAUUUUGAAGCCCUCCAACUCUUAGUGAUCAGGAGAGAUGGAAAGAAACAGCAAAGAAAAUUGAAAAGCAGCUAUUAUGAUAGCAGAAUUGUGGAAUGGUGUCCCGGGAACCAAUUCCUGGAAAUGCUCCAAGGAGGAGAGAAUGAUCAACUGGGUCGAUUGCUACUGACAUAUCAAAUUGCAAACUGAACUGGUGAUUAGAUUUGGCAACGUGGAGGUCACUGACGACAAGAGUGAUUUCGUUGGAAUGGUGGAGCAAGCGUGUAACAGCGGAAUGUGCAUAACGUAUCUUAGACAAGAUUUAUUAGACGCCUCUUACGUUACCUGGCUAUAUUUCUACUUCCUCCAUAUUUGAGAGGGUAGGUGAUUUGUAUUCCCAGUGCCUACAACAGUACCUGGCAUGUCGUAUGUGCUCAAUACAUAUUUUCUAAAUGAAUGAACCACAUGGGCCCAUUUUUAUAUAUACCCACGCUUCACUGACCUUAGUAAGUAUAGAAUUUUUAACAUGAAAAGAGAGUAUAAUCUUUCAAUCUAAUUCAACUGCCUCUUUUUACA
Molecule: long non-coding RNA, 2391 nt
Organism: Suricata suricatta (meerkat)
Lineage: Eukaryota; Metazoa; Chordata; Mammalia; Carnivora; Herpestidae
Exons: 3
Source: RefSeq, a predicted model, not a curated record